GUACUCUCGUUCAAGCUCUCUGUGUACGUGUCUGCCUGUGUGUGUGUGUGUGUGUGUGUGUGUGUAGGUACUACAUCCUAUUGGGGCUCUGUGCUCUCCCGGGCAGGCGACCUCCUCCUCCAUUGCCUUUCUCGCUCCGCUUUCUGCUGUAUUGUUGCUGUUCCUUCCCUCAAGUGCGAUAUCCCGUUAGCCGCCCAUCUCAUCCAUCGCCGUCACCGCCAUUGUCGGAGGGGGUGUCAAACAUUUUUCGUGCCUGCUUGGUAUACCAUCACCAACACCCCACACACACAUACUCACCACCGCAGCCGGGGGCACCGCAGGAACGUGAACGACGAGAGGCAGAGCGAUGGCAAGCACUGGCAAGCUGAAGGUGCCGGAGACGGCGGAAGAGGCGAAGGAGCUCGUCGCGGUGAUGCGGCAGCUGCCGGACAACCGCGUCUGCUUCGACUGCCCGCAGAAAAACCCGAGCUGGUGCAGCGUGACGUACGGCCUCUUCCUAUGCAUGGACUGCUGCGGCCGCCACCGUGGCAUGGGGGUACACAUCACCUUCAUGAAGUCUGCGGAGCUUGACAGCUGGCGCCCGCAAGAGGCACUGCGUGUGGCGCUUGGCGGCAACAGCAGGGCGAAGCAGUUCCUGAAGCAGCACGGCAAUAUGGACCCCAAGUCCUUCUACACCUCCCCCGCCGCCGCGCUGUACAAGCGCAUGGUUGACAAGGCCGUGAACGACUUCACACUGAACGGGCAGCUACCGUCGGCGUCUCCCGUGCCGCAGCUGGCGUGCGAGGCGUCGCCGCAGUCGGACAACUGUGCUUCUCCGACGUUCAUCGGUGUCGCCGCCCCCACUGGGUCGUCCCUGUCGCCUACCCCCAGCGCCAGCCCCGACGUGACGGCACAGGGCAGCCCCGUGACAGUGGCGCCGAUCGUGGCGAUCUCCUCCAAGCCCACCGGGCUCGGGACGAAGAAGCUCGGCGGCAGCGGCGCGGCGCUUGGCGCGAAGGGGAAGAAGAAGGGCUUCGGCGGCAUCGCCCGCGUCGAGGGCAUCAUCGAGGAGUCCACACGGCCGGUGCCUGAAGAGCUGCUGUAUGACCGCGAGGCAGAGCACCGCAAAGCCGCCGAGGCAGAGAUGGAGCGCCAGCGCCAGGCAGACCUGGCUGCCGCCGCCGCCCGCGCGGUGGACCCGAGCAUGCUUGGUCGCGGCGAGCCGCAUGCGCCGAAGGCACCGAAGGUAACACAGGCACCGCGGCAGACCGGCUUCAUCGGCAAGAACGCGGAGAACGUCAACGGCGAUCUUUUCGACGACACGAACGUGCCGGCGACGGCACCGGCGCCGCCAACGCGCCAGCCGUGCGGCGUGGGCGGCAACAACACCACGAACGUCUCGGCCUCCGCGGCCACGGCGAGGUCGGCGACGCCGACGCUACCGCCAAUGUCCGUCUCGGCGGCGCCGCGCGCCGGGCCUGACUUCCGUGGUCUCGGCAACCAGGCGUACGUGCCUGAGGACACCUACUGCGCCAGCGGCGGUCCGCGUGGCAGCAGCGGCGGCAUGGGCGCGCCCGGUACCGCAAGCGACGCUCUCUGGCAUGUCACGGAAGCCGCGCGCAGCCUGCAGCAGAGCGCUGCACAGGCAACCGGGGCUUUGGGAGAGGCGGUGAAGAACUUCCUGGAUGAUCUGUAGGUAAGCAAAAAGCAAAAUGGGAGGAGCGCGGCGUACGGUGAUGGUUCGCGCUGUUCUCUCAGUGUCGGUGUGUGUGUGUGUGUGUGUGUGUGUGUGCACCUUCGUUGUUGAGGGCGCAUUCCUCUUUCAUAUAGGCGAUGAAGUGUGGACGUUUCUGACUGUGUGUGUUAGCAGCGCGUGCACGCGCGGAUGCCGGUGUCCUUUCCUUCCGGGAUUAGCAUCCCUGAUGGCAGGGAGAGGACACACCUUUCCGUGCGUCGUAUCUCAGGGCCCAGCGCACCCCCUCCCCUCCCCCUCCCAUCUCUCUCUGUGUGUGGGAGGGAGGCCAAGCAGCACCCCUCCAGCCCUGGCAAAUGCCGAGCGACUUCGGGUGGUGUGACGGGGUCAAGCGCCCACGAUAUGGGGAGGUCAGAGCGAUGUAUCCGCUGCUGAUGGCGGCGGUGGGGCCCCUUGGAGAGCGUGGCGCCGUCGCGACCUGCGACACUGAGCACACGUUUGUGCCAUCCAUGUGGUGGGCAGCGUGUCAGCGUGACUCGAGCGCAUCCCGCCCCCCGGCCCUCCACUGCCCAUUGGUGGGGGGGAGCCUGAGCCACCCCGAGGGGAGUGAAGCACCGCGUGGCGGCCGGCAUGAUUGGGAGCGGCUGCGGGCCAAUCUGCAGGAUGGGUAGUGGGUAGAUGGGGGGGAGGGGCAGAGGCCGAGCUCAGAUGACUGAGUCGGUGCGUUGCCGUACCGCAUGUCUACGGCUGCUUCGCACCACGCAAUGGGUGCCUGUGGCAGGGCGGAGUUCAGCUCGUGUCGUGUGGCAGAGAAAAUGAACGUGUUGACAACAUAUAAACGGAUCGGCAUGCCUUUGAUGGGCGAUGGAAUCAAGA
RNAcentral lists this unclassified non-coding RNA (2548 nucleotides) under Leishmania donovani. RNAcentral's name for it is "gene:LdHU3.13.0790(CDS-product:Putative_GTPase_ac tivating_protein_for_Arf_putative)". The record is from RNAcentral. Lineage: Eukaryota; Euglenozoa; Kinetoplastea; Trypanosomatida; Trypanosomatidae.